ACUUCUAUCGUUUUCGAGUGUCACAGUGGUUUUACAAACUGAGGUAUUGUAAACCCUCUGUCUUCACUUCGAAAAUGAGAGGG
Haemonchus contortus (barber pole worm) is the source of this 83-nucleotide non-coding RNA. The record is from Rfam. Lineage: Eukaryota; Metazoa; Nematoda; Chromadorea; Rhabditida; Trichostrongylidae.